This 114-nucleotide ribosomal RNA is filed under the name Chrysemys picta bellii (western painted turtle). Lineage: Eukaryota; Metazoa; Chordata; Testudines; Emydidae. The record is from RNAcentral.
UCAUCCAGUCAUACCCACCCUGUGCUCCCAUUAAAGCUCAUAACCUAAGCAAAGAUAGGCUGUGUCAGUACUUGAAUGGGAGACCUCCAACGUAUAGCAUAAGGGCUGCAUGAU